AUUUUAGUUGAUCCAAUGUUGUAAGGUUUAAUAUGUGUCAAGAUUUGUAAGUGGAAGGUUCCACAGUUGUAUCUUUACAAC
Molecule: small RNA, 81 nt
Filed under: Arabidopsis thaliana (thale cress)
Lineage: Eukaryota; Viridiplantae; Streptophyta; Magnoliopsida; Brassicales; Brassicaceae
Description: ATSL028920
Source: RNAcentral